GCUUACGACCACACAGGUCUGAGUACGCCUGAUCUCGUCUGAUCUCAGAAGCUUAGCAGGGUCCGGCCUGGUUAGUACUUGGAUGGGAGACCGCCUGGGAAUACCAGGUGAUGUAAGCU
Oncorhynchus kisutch (coho salmon) is the source of this 119-nucleotide ribosomal RNA. The record is from Ensembl. NCBI's taxonomy places the organism in Eukaryota, Metazoa, Chordata, Actinopteri, Salmoniformes, Salmonidae.